GGGGCCUUAGCUCAGUUGGUAGAGCACCGGCUUUGCAAGCCGGGUGUCAGGGGUUCGAAUCCCCUAGGCUCCAC
This 74-nucleotide transfer RNA is filed under the name Actinomadura citrea. Its description in RNAcentral is "tRNA-Ala". It matches the Rfam family "tRNA". From Rfam's summary of the family: Transfer RNA (tRNA) molecules are approximately 80 nucleotides in length. Their secondary structure includes four short double-helical elements and three loops (D, anti-codon, and T loops). Further hydrogen bonds mediate the characteristic L-shaped molecular structure. tRNAs have two regions of fundamental functional importance: the anti-codon, which is responsible for specific mRNA codon recognition, and the 3' end, to which the tRNAs corresponding amino acid is attached (by aminoacyl-tRNA synthetases). tRNAs cope with the degeneracy of the genetic code in two manners: having more than one tRNA (with a specific anti-codon) for a particular amino acid; and 'wobble' base-pairing, i.e. permitting non-standard base-pairing at the 3rd anti-codon position. RNAcentral also lists the same sequence under 2 other names. Lineage: Bacteria; Bacillati; Actinomycetota; Actinomycetes; Streptosporangiales; Thermomonosporaceae. The record is from RNAcentral.